RNAcentral lists this transfer RNA (70 nucleotides) under Dipodomys ordii (Ord's kangaroo rat). It matches the Rfam family "tRNA". Rfam says of the family: Transfer RNA (tRNA) molecules are approximately 80 nucleotides in length. Their secondary structure includes four short double-helical elements and three loops (D, anti-codon, and T loops). The record is from Rfam by way of RNAcentral. Lineage: Eukaryota; Metazoa; Chordata; Mammalia; Rodentia; Heteromyidae.
GGGAAGGUGGCUUAAUGGUAGAGUGCUUGCCUAACAUGCAUGAAGCCCUGGGUUCGAUUCCUCAUUACCA